RNAcentral lists this signal recognition particle RNA (98 nucleotides) under Spirochaetales bacterium. RNAcentral describes it as "signal recognition particle sRNA small type". It matches the Rfam family "Bacterial small signal recognition particle RNA". Rfam says of the family: The signal recognition particle (SRP) is a universally conserved ribonucleoprotein involved in the co-translational targeting of proteins to membranes. Archaeal SRP consists of a 7S RNA and homologues of the eukaryotic SRP19 and SRP54 proteins. In most bacteria, the SRP consists of a 4.5S RNA and the Ffh protein (a homologue of the eukaryotic SRP54 protein). The record is from RNAcentral. Lineage: Bacteria; Pseudomonadati; Spirochaetota; Spirochaetia; Spirochaetales.
UGUAAGGCACUGCGCAACUGUCUGUCGCCCAAACCCGUCAGGACCGGAAGGUAGCAGCGGUAAGUGACCGGCUGUGUGCCGCAGACAGCUUUACAGAC